UCGAGAAUUUUUCACAAUGGGGGAAACCCUGAUGGAGCGACGCCGCGUGGGGGAUGAAUGGCUUCGGCCCGUAAACCCCUGUCAUUCGCGAUCAAUGCGUGUUGUUUAAGAGAUGACAUGUUGAUAGUAGCGGAAGAGGAAGGGACGGCUAACUCUGUGCCAGCAGCCGCGGUAAUACAGAGGUCCCGAGCGUUGUUCGGAUUCACUGGGCGUAAAGGGUGCGUAGGUGGUGAGGUAAGUCGGAUGUGAAAGCUCGGAGCUCAACUCCGAAAUGGCAUUGGAAACUACCUUGCUAGAGGUUUGGAAGGGGGACUGGAAUGCUUGGUGUAGCAGUGAAAUGCGUAGAUAUCAAGCGGAACACCAGUGGCGAAGGCGAGUCCCUGGACAACACCUGACACUGAGGCACGAAAGCUAGGGGAGCAAACAGG
RNAcentral lists this ribosomal RNA (428 nucleotides) under uncultured Verrucomicrobiota bacterium. Its description in RNAcentral is "bacterial SSU rRNA". It matches the Rfam family "Bacterial small subunit ribosomal RNA", at positions 355 to 776 of the family's 1533-position model. Lineage: Bacteria; Pseudomonadati; Verrucomicrobiota. The record is from RNAcentral.